AAUGAAAUGACAAAUCAAGAAACGGCUGAUCAAGUCACUGAUGAAGUGACUGAAAUAGCCGUUCGCAAUAGUGAAGCGGCUUUUCAAACAACAAAGCCAAGAAUUACUCGUAGACAUUCAUAUGCACCAAAGUGUAUGUAUAUCCCGAUGAAACAUUCUAUUCUUGUUCGAAUAAUAUUUAUUUGUGGGCUACGAUUUCGAUUCAAGAUAUCAACACACACCCUUAAUGAUUUGCCUAACAUCCAUUUUUAGACAGUUCAAAUGGUUCAAUUAACCUGGUUUAUCCGACAAAUUUUAUUGAAUUGGGACGUAUGUUUAGAGUGUAGUCUAGUUUGGUUUUGUGACUAAGUUCAAUGUGAUAACGUUAUCAAUACGUUGGAUCGAUUCAAAUAAUAAAACGAAAAGGUGAUCAACUUUUAUGGAAUAAUCGUUUUAUUUCAACUCUUUCACAAACAAUUUGAACAGGAUGUCGAUUCACAAAAAUCGAUUUAGAAAAAAAUAUGUUUACACCCCAAAAAAUAAAAAUGUUAAAUACACGUACUAUUUUAUCAAUUAUUCUGCCGUUUUGAUAUUCUCACAGCGUUAAUUAAUGCACAAUUUGUUUUUUCAAAAUACAAAAAAAAAAUAUUACAGUAAUAUUUGCCUAGAAUUGUAUGACACACGUAUUUUGUUUGUCCCAAAUGCACCUUGUAACACAAAAAAAUUAAACCGUGUGAAACUAAUUGAGUUGAAUUUGUUUAUGUGUAGUUUGCACAACUGCAAAUUAAAUACACCAACGUUUUCUUAAGCC
Long non-coding RNA from Sitodiplosis mosellana (orange wheat blossom midge), 790 nucleotides. RefSeq lists it as uncharacterized. The transcript has 2 exons. NCBI's taxonomy places the organism in Eukaryota, Metazoa, Arthropoda, Insecta, Diptera, Cecidomyiidae. The record is from RefSeq and is a predicted model, not a curated record.